UGACCACCCGGAGACGGGUCGAGGCUACACGGACGGCCGGGUCAGAUGCCGA
This 52-nucleotide non-coding RNA is filed under the name unclassified sequences. The record is from Rfam.